RNAcentral lists this unclassified non-coding RNA (279 nucleotides) under plant metagenome. Its description in RNAcentral is "partial contains small subunit ribosomal RNA, internal transcribed spacer 1, and 5.8S ribosomal RNA". The record is from RNAcentral.
UCUCCGUUGGUGAACCAGCGGAGGGAUUAUUACCGAGUAUACAACUCCCAAACCCUAUGUGAACCUUUCCACCCUGUUGCCUCGCCGGGGGCCCCCCCCGGGGUCGUCGCAGGCCCUGAAAGAGGCUCCGUCCGGACCGACCGACCAAACUCUGUGUUUUAUGCCCUCUGUUAAGUUUUUUCUUACCGCUCUCAUCAAAUAUUCAAAAGAAAUCAAAACUAUCAGCAACGGAGCGCUUAGUUCUGACAUCGAUGCAGAACGCAGCAAAUCGGAAGACCC